Myxocyprinus asiaticus (Chinese sucker) is the source of this 646-nucleotide long non-coding RNA. RefSeq lists it as uncharacterized. The transcript has 4 exons. The record is from RefSeq and is a predicted model, not a curated record. NCBI's taxonomy places the organism in Eukaryota, Metazoa, Chordata, Actinopteri, Cypriniformes, Catostomidae.
CUGAGUGGUAGGCAUAGGGUUAAGGCAUAGAAAAUAUAAUGAACAGAAGUCAAUGGAAAGUCCGCACAAAGAUAUAAAAACAAACAUGUGUGUGUUUGUGUGUGUAGCAACAGGCUGUUUCACCAUCCUAAGAGUGUUACAAGAAAUGUCUUACACCCUCCAAACAGCCAACAGACGAUUUAAGCAUCAACAGCCUGUGUGACUGAGAUAAGCCCUCUACUUCACUUUGAGGACGCUUGCACGCUUUGACAGCCCACUCUGUAAUUUUAGUGUCAGACUCAUCUAAUGCAUUGAGAAUGAGCAGUCUGAACAGACCCUCCAGAAUAACACCAUUAACUUGACAUGCUCAUCUCCACAGUGACCUUUGGGAAGUGCUCUACGGGGUAAGGAUCUGCAGAUAAAUGCUACCAUUCCAGUGUUUCACAGAAGAAAGAAAUUCACACUGGUUCAGAACAACAUAAAGAUCAGUUGAUUACUGGUACCAAUCCAUGUGUUGGAGGGCUUCUGUGCUCAGGUAGCCCAUCUCCCUCAGACAGCCAUCAUGGAAGACCCGUGUGCACAUCCGGCAGGGGAACAGAUCAUCUGCUGUCCACACCUCACAAACCUCACACAUCUCAUCGUUGACAGGCUGAUUGCAAAACAAUGG